Pan troglodytes (chimpanzee) is the source of this 2365-nucleotide long non-coding RNA. RefSeq lists it as uncharacterized. The transcript has 2 exons. The record is from RefSeq and is a predicted model, not a curated record. Lineage: Eukaryota; Metazoa; Chordata; Mammalia; Primates; Hominidae.
AACCUGAAAAUAGAAGUUGUAAGUCAGGGAUGGUGGUAUGUGCCUCUAGUCUCAGCUAGUUGGGAGGCUGAGGCUUGAGCCCAGGCCUUCAAGGCUGUAGUGCACAAUGACUGUACUUGUGAAUAGCCACUGCACUCCAGCCUGGGCAACAUAGCAAGACUCCCACCCUUUAAGAAAAAAGAGAAGAGAGGAAAAAAUAGAAGUUGUGGAGAGGGAGGAGGAUGCUUGAAUACUUUGACCGUACUUGGCAUAAUAGACAUUUUGAGGGUUUUUUUUUUUUCUUAAAAUUCCUCUGGAUCAGUUUUCAUUGUUUCUAGUAAUUAUAUUUAUCAUUAAUGAAUUCAUAUUCUGCUCUAGUCCCUAAAGAUAGUUUGAUAUGCUAACUUUUGUUUUGCCUUUCUAGCUGCUAAGAUAGAUAAUGGUUAUUGCAAAAUGCACGUUUUUAAAUGGUCUCCAGUGUGGAUUGCUUCUGAGCUGCUGAUGGAUUGAAUACAUUGAGAAGGAAUGUGUCAUUUGGAAUCCAGGACCAGUCAGCAAGGAUAACUGCCUGAUUUUAUGAUUUCGUGACUGAUGCUGAAAUGGAAGCCAACCACUGCAGAAAUUUGGGGGAAAAUGAGAUCUGAAGAAUACAAGGGGAAGUAGGAAUUCAUUUCUAGCAUUUCCAAACCUGCUUAAUCGUGUCUGCUCCACCACAGUCAGAGGAAAAGACUGAGUUCAUGGAAAUUACCAGCUAAGCCUUACAUCUGUCUUUAAUGUUUUUAGGAAGUAUACUGAAAAGGUAAGUGAGAUGUCUGUUUUGAAGAGAGACUCUUACUGGGUACCUUAAAACCCGUUGUUUCCUAUUAGUAAAGAUGGGCAGCUUCUUUAUUCCUAGCUUCAAAAAGCCUUGCCCCUGUUCGGUGUGUUUCUCAGUAUUGUGGAGAAGGUAGUUUCUGAGCAAGGUGGUGCUUUUCCUCUGCUUCUCAGCAGCUAAGACAGAAAUUGCACCGAAGUGUACAAAGGGCCAAUUUUUGUUGUCCUGUUGUGCUCAAAUCCUUUUUUUAAAAAAGUUAUUUCAAUCAAGUCUUAGUUUUAUUCCUCACUAUAUAGGAAAAAAAUCUUUAAUGCCUCAAAAGUUCCAGUCAGCAUUACAUUUGCAUUACUCUUAUUUGCAGCAAAUAUGAGUAAAAUUGUAGGUUUUUAAAGGUCUCUAAUAACAUCCACUUAUAUUGGUUUUGUAGAUAAUCCAUAAAUUACCAGAAAUAAAUUAUUCCACAUUUAUUACACACCCAUGUAAUAGAUGUCGUGCCAGGCCCUGGAAUAUACUAAUGGCAUCACCUCAUGUGGUAAAAAGACACAUUCCGCCAUCCUGGAGUAUACAAAGGUAGACUAGCAUAUAGUUCAUGUGCUCAAGGAGUUCAUUUUUAUUGACAUGAUACAGAUAGAAUUGUAGUUUAGGGAAUCAAAAUAUAAUAAAAUGAGGCUAAUUCCAUUUUCCCAUUAACACUAAUAACUAGUGUGUAAAUCUGAAUAUGACACAUUCUAUAUGAAAGAAGCUCUGUGUGCAUCUACACUAAAUACUCGUGUGUGCCAGGUACUAUUUUAAACUACGUAUAUUUUUUUAAUUCUCAUAACUGUUCUCUGAGGUAAGUACUAAUACUAAAGCUAUUGUCAAAGGAAGGCAGAAAAAUUAAGUAACUUGGCCUAAGUUUGCAUAACUGUGAUCUGGGAUCAAUAUUUGAACCCAUACAGGCUGAUUGCAGAGCCUGCACUCUUAAUUUGAGUGUGAUAUUUAUGUGCAGUACCUGGCUAUAAGUACCCACAAAACGUUUCAAAUUCUUUAUAAAAUUUGCUUAGUUAAAAAAGUACCAAUUGCAUAAUAUGGUUAUAAGUCUGGUAGAAGUUAGGCUUUUUACAAGACAUGCUGCUUACUGCACCAAGGAGGCAAGAAGUCUUUUUAGAGAGCCCAAAAUUUCCUUUCCUCAACUCCUGCUUCCAAGACAGUCAUUUUGCAUGAUAACCGUUUCCCCAAAAAACACAGACACAAAAUUUAAAGAACUGGAACAGAGGAAGCAGAGCUUAUCAUAGUAUAUAUAUUUAGUACCCUGUCACUUAGGUCCACCCCUCUUUCUUUGUGGAUUGUGGACAUUUUGUUUAACUGCUAAAUCAUGAGAAUAUAUGACUGCUGAGACUUUUCCAAGGAUUUUUUAAAAAACACAUUAGGCUUCGUGCAGAAGUAAAGAAAAAGUGCUGUGAGAACCCCAGGUAGGUAAUUUACUUCCUAUUGUACUCAUAGUUUGUUUGAAACCUCUUCACCUCUAUCCCUUAUUGUUUUAUACUCUGUAAAUCUGAUUUUACCUUUAAUAAACUUUUCUGAAGUGAGUGA